This is a long non-coding RNA of Alnus glutinosa, 949 nucleotides long. RefSeq lists it as uncharacterized. The transcript is spliced from 2 exons. The record is from RefSeq and is a predicted model, not a curated record. Lineage: Eukaryota; Viridiplantae; Streptophyta; Magnoliopsida; Fagales; Betulaceae.
UGAAAGUGGUAUUUGGUAAAGAUUGUUGAGUUGAAUUUUAUCAUAGAGAUAGGCUCAAACAAUUUUUUCAGUCGUCACCGCGGCCGUCUUCAUAUCAUACAAAAAGAUGAAGUUGUACAUUCUACAUUUUUGCAUCGCCUCUCAGUCGUCGUAUGCCUGGUGCUGUGUUUGUGAAUUGUCAAUAGCAGGUCAAACUCUAAAAAGAGAUAGGAGUGACGCAGGCCGCAAGGUACUAAGGCCAUCUCCAGCAGUUGGAGUUAAAAUAGCUAUUCAAAAAGUAUCAAUCUCUACUUUAACUACUGUUUUUCCAAUAUUCUCUCCAACAGAUUUACUAUUCAACUCUUUACUUACAUUUAAAUAUUAUUUUUUAUUCUUUUUUUAUUAUAUUUUUUUUUAUUCUUUUAUUCUCCUCAUUUUUCCUUCCUGAUCUUUCUUUCUUGUUCUUCCUUUCUCUUUUCAUCUGAAACACUGAGAGAGAGAUCGAGGGAUUUAGGGAGAGCUGGAGAUGGAGAGACCCGAGAGAGAACCGCUGAACUCGACUAACCCAGACGAACCCAGGCGAAACCCAUCAACCCGGUCCUCCAUGAGUCGAGCUCCGGUGGCCUGAGACGAGUUCCGGUUGAGCUAGGCGCAGAUCCGGCAGAGUCAGAGGUGAUUUCCGGUGAUUAUGAGCGAUUUCCGAGAGACAACCGCUGAACUCGACGAACCCAGACGAAACCCAUCAACCCGAUCCUUCAUGAGUCGAGUUUCGGUGGCCUGAGACGAGUUCCGGUUGAGCUAGGCGCGGAUCCGGCCGAGUCAGAGGUGAUUUUCGGCGACUGGUAAAAUAGGUUGAUGAUUUUGGUUGAUGAUUUUUAGUUGAACCCAUCUGAUUUUGAAGCUUGAAUGUCUCCCCUGUUUCGGUUAUAUGUAUCACGGCUAAAGCUAUAUUUAUGGUUGAUUUUGAUGA